This 254-nucleotide ribosomal RNA is filed under the name uncultured bacterium. RNAcentral's name for it is "partial 16S ribosomal RNA". It matches the Rfam family "Bacterial small subunit ribosomal RNA", at positions 524 to 776 of the family's 1533-position model. The record is from RNAcentral.
UACGGAGGGUGCGAGCGUUGUCCGGAAUCAUUGGGCGUAAAGGGCGCGUAGGUGGCCCGGUCAGUCCGUGGUGAAAGCGCGGGGCUCAACCCUGCGUCGGCCAUGGAUACUGCCGCGGCUCGAGCACUGUAGAGGCAGGCGGAAUUCCGGGUGUAGCGGUGGAAUGCGCAGAUAUCAGGAGGAACACCAAUGGCGAAGGCAGAUCUCUGGGCCGUAACUGACGCUGAGGAGCGAAAGCAUGGGGAGCGAACAGG